UAUUGUAGAAUGUAGAUUGGUAUCUGCAUUAUUAAAGUUCAUAGGACUUACUACUGACUCACUUUUCUUUUUUUAAUCAUUAGCCUUAUGCAGCUCUCAAAGCUAGAGAAUAUCUUGAUAAGCCUGCAAUACAUGAGACAAUGGUGAAGGUAUGUAGAUUAUAUCUUAUAUUUCCUACACAAAUAUAGACAACUGUAUGCUGAUGUCAUUAUGCAGGUUAGCGCUUAUCUGCUUGGAGAAUACAGCCAUCUUUUGGCCAGACGACCUAGGUGUAGCCCAAAGGACAUUUUUGUCAUUAUACAUGAGAAGCUUCCUACUGUAUCGACUCCAACAAUAUCCAUUCUUCUCUCAACAUACGCAAAGAUUUUGAUGCACUCUCAACCACCAGAUCCCGAAUUACAAAACCAGAUCUGGGCAAUAUUCAACAAGUGGGUUUAUAAUAAAUAGGAGCUACACUUUUUUUUUGUAUAUGCAAAAUUUGAUAAUAUUUAAUUUCACACACAUUGACAGAUAUGAAACAUGCAUUGAUACUGAGAUACAACAAAGAGCUGUGGAGUAUUUUGCAUUGAGUAGGAAAGGUGAAGCCCUGAUGGAUAUAUUAGUAGAAAUGCCAAAGUUCCCUGAACGUGAGGUAUAUUUAAGCGUAGGGUUUUAAUUGAUUGAUUGAUUGAGCAUAUAAUAAUAAUAAUAAUAAUAAUAAUAAUAAUAAUAAUAAUAAUAAUAAUAUUUUAUCUGAUAUGGUGAUUGUUGUUGACUUUGAUUUACCUUUCUGAAGUCUUCAUUGAUCAAGAAAGCAGAAGACACUGAAGCUGAUACUGCAGAGCUAAGUGCUAUCAAGUCACGCACACAACAGCAGGCUUCUAAUGCUUUAGAGGUGACAUCUGAGCGCGAACCUCCCCAACUUGGUAUGGUCAAAAUCCCAGCGUUGACCAUAACUCUGUGAGCGUUGACCAAGAGUUGACUCAAGCUAAUGGAAUUUCACAUGAAGUUGACCACCCUCAACCUGAUAUUCUUUGAGAUCUUUUAAGCCCACUGGCUAUUGAAGCACCUCCUCCUCCUGUAAGUGAAGAGGAUGCAUUAGCUCUUGCACCUGUUGAAGAGCAAGAUAAUAUUGUAAAGCCAAUAGGAGACACUGCAGAAAGAUUUCAUGCCCUGUGUCUUAAAGAUAGUGGAGUUCUAUAUGAAGAUCCUUAUGUUCAGAUUGGUAUCAAAGCAGACUGGCGAGGUCAUCAAGGUCGCCUAGUCAUCUUUUUGGGGAACAAAACAACUUCUUCACUCACUUCAGUUCAAGCAGUGGUUCUGCCUCCAUCUCAUUUAAAACUGGAACUCUCAUCAGCAAAGAACAAGCUUCAAAC
Long non-coding RNA from Lactuca sativa (garden lettuce), 1355 nucleotides. RefSeq lists it as uncharacterized. The record is from RefSeq and is a predicted model, not a curated record. NCBI's taxonomy places the organism in Eukaryota, Viridiplantae, Streptophyta, Magnoliopsida, Asterales, Asteraceae.